AUACAUAGGUUAACGAGGCGAACCGGGGGAACUGAAACAUCUAAGUACCCCGAGGAAAAGAAAUCAACCGAGAUUCCCCCAGUAGCGGCGAGCGAACGGGGAGCAGCCCGGAGUCUGAAUCAGCUUGUGUGUUAGUGGAACGGUCUGGAAAGUCCGACGGUACAGGGUGAUAGUCCCGUACACGAAAGCACACAUGCUGUGAACUCGAAGAGUAGGGCGGGACACGUGGUAUCCUGUCUGAAUAUGGGGGGACCAUCCUCCAAGGCUAAAUACUCCUGACUGACCGAUAGUGAACCAGUACCGUGAGGGAAAGGCGAAAAGAACCCCGGCGAGGGGAGUGAAAAAGAACCUGAAACCGUGUACGUACAAGCAGUGGGAGCCUCUUUAUGGGGUGACUGCGUACCUUUUGUAUAAUGGGUCAGCGACUUAUAUUCUGUAGCAAGGUUAACCGUAUAGGGGAGCCGAAGGGAAACCGAGUCUUAACUGGGCGUUAAGUUGCAGGGUAUAGACCCGAAACCCGGUGAUCUAGCCAUGGGCAGGUUGAAGGUUGGGUAACACUAACUGGAGGACCGAACCGACUAAUGUUGAAAAAUUAGCGGAUGACCUGUGGCUGGGGGUGAAAGGCCAAUCAAACCGGGAGAUAGCUGGUUCUCCCCGAAAGCUAUUUAGGUAGCGCCUCGUGAACUCAUCUUCGGGGGUAGAGCACUGUUUCGGCUAGGGGGCCAUCCCGGCUUACCAACCCGAUGCAAACUACGAAUACCGAAGAAUGUUAUCACGGGAGACACACGGCGGGUGCUAACGUCCGUCGUGAAGAGGGAAACAACCCAGACCGCCAGCUAAGGUCCCAAAGUCAUGGUUAAGUGGGAAACGAUGUGGGAAGGCACAGACAGCCAGGAUGUUGGCUUAGAAGCAGCCAUCAUUUAAAGAAAGCGUAAUAGCUCACUGGUCGAGUCGGCCUGCGCGGAAGAUGUAACGGGGCUAAACCAUGCACCGAAGCUGCGGCAGCGACACUAUGUGUUGUUGGGUAGGGGAGCGUUCUGUAAGCCGUUGAAGGUGUGCUGUGAGGCAUGCUGGAGGUAUCAGAAGUGCGAAUGCUGACAUAAGUAACGAUAAAGCGGGUGAAAAGCCCGCUCGCCGGAAGACCAAGGGUUCCUGUCCAACGUUAAUCGGGGCAGGGUGAGUCGACCCCUAAGGCGAGGCCGAAAGGCGUAGUCGAUGGGAAACAGGUUAAUAUUCCUGUACUUGGUGUUACUGCGAAGGGGGGACGGAGAAGGCUAUGUCAGCCGGGCGACGGUUGUCCCGGUUUAAGCAUGUAGGCGGAGGUUCCAGGUAAAUCCGGUACCUUUUAACGCUGAGGUGUGAUGACGAGGCACUACGGUGCUGAAGUGAUAAAUGCCCUGCUUCCAGGAAAAGCCUCUAAGCAUCAGGUAACAUCAAAUCGUACCCCAAACCGACACAGGUGGUCAGGUAGAGAAUACCAAGGCGCUUGAGAGAACUCGGGUGAAGGAACUAGGCAAAAUGGUGCCGUAACUUCGGGAGAAGGCACGCUGAUGUGUAGGUGAAGCCCCUGCGGGCGGAGCUGAAAUCAGUCGAAGAUACCAGCUGGCUGCAACUGUUUAUUAAAAACACAGCACUGUGCAAACACGAAAGUGGACGUAUACGGUGUGACGCCUGCCCGGUGCCGGAAGGUUAAUUGAUGGGGUUAGCGGCAACGCGAAGCUCUUGAUCGAAGCCCCGGUAAACGGCGGCCGUAACUAUAACGGUCCUAAGGUAGCGAAAUUCCUUGUCGGGUAAGUUCCGACCUGCACGAAUGGCGUAAUGAUGGCCAGGCUGUCUCCACCCGAGACUCAGUGAAAUUGAACUCGCUGUGAAGAUGCAGUGUACCCGCGGCAAGACGGAAAGACCCCGUGAACCUUUACUAUAGCUUGACACUGAACACUGGUCCUUGAUGUGUAGGAUAGGUGGGAGGCUUUGAAGCGUGGACGCCAGUCUGCGUGGAGCCGACCUUGAAAUACCACCCUUUAAUGGCUGGUGUUCUAACGUAGACCCGUAAUCCGGGUUGCGGACAGUGUCUGGUGGGUAGUUUGACUGGGGCGGUCUCCUCCCAAAGAGUAACGGAGGAGCACGAAGGUUGGCUAAUCCUGGUCGGACAUCAGGAGGUUAGUGCAAUGGCAUAAGCCAGCUUGACUGCGAGCGUGACGGCGCGAGCAGGUGCGAAAGCAGGUCAUAGUGAUCCGGUGGUUCUGAAUGGAAGGGCCAUCGCUCAACGGAUAAAAGGUACUCCGGGGAUAACAGGCUGAUACCGCCCAAGAGUUCAUAUCGACGGCGGUGUUUGGCACCUCGAUGUCGGCUCAUCACAUCCUGGGGCUGAAGUAGGUCCCAAGGGUAUGGCUGUUCGCCAUUUAAAGUGGUACGCGAGCUGGGUUUAGAACGUCGUGAGACAGUUCGGUCCCUAUCUGCCGUGGGCGCUGGAGAAUUGAGGGGGGCUGCUCCUAGUACGAGAGGACCGGAGUGGACGCAUCACUGGUGUUC
RNAcentral lists this ribosomal RNA (2532 nucleotides) under Enterobacter hormaechei. RNAcentral's name for it is "partial 23S ribosomal RNA". It matches the Rfam family "Bacterial large subunit ribosomal RNA", at positions 162 to 2717 of the family's 2925-position model. Lineage: Bacteria; Pseudomonadati; Pseudomonadota; Gammaproteobacteria; Enterobacterales; Enterobacteriaceae. The record is from RNAcentral.